This 253-nucleotide ribosomal RNA is filed under the name uncultured bacterium. Its description in RNAcentral is "partial 16S ribosomal RNA". It matches the Rfam family "Bacterial small subunit ribosomal RNA", at positions 524 to 776 of the family's 1533-position model. The record is from RNAcentral.
UACAGAGGUCCCAAGCGUUGUUCGGAUUCACUGGGCGUAAAGGGUGCGUAGGUGGCCGAGUAAGUCUGACGUGAAAUCUCCAAGCUCAACUUGGAAACUGCGUCGGAUACUAUCCGGCUAGAGGAUCGGAGGGGAGACUGGAAUACUUGGUGUAGCAGUGAAAUGCGUAGAUAUCAAGUGGAACACCAGUGGCGAAGGCGGGUCUCUGGGCAGUAACUGACGCUGAGGAGCGAAAGCGUGGGGAGCGAACAGG